Molecule: long non-coding RNA, 313 nt
Organism: Canis lupus familiaris (dog)
Lineage: Eukaryota; Metazoa; Chordata; Mammalia; Carnivora; Canidae
Exons: 4
Source: RefSeq, a predicted model, not a curated record
GGCUCCCAGCGUGCACUGCGCUCGAGCGCGGUCCCCCGGACUGACGGCCAGCCCUGCGGAUGGACGGGCCGUGUGCCCUGUCGCCCUGCGCCUGCUGAACUCCGAGCACCCGAGGAUGUCUGCGCUGAGGAAGGUCUGUAUGAGCUGUUGGCUGUUGUGCAGGCCGGCUGGGGCCACGUGUGGACAGCCAGGAAGACCUGACCUUCCUCUGGGAUAUGUUUGGUGAGAAAAGCCUGCAUUCACCGGUAAAGAAGUUACUCGUCGAGCACCAUUUUCCUUUAGAUCUUCACAAUAUCCUGGGUAGCCUUAUGUU